RNAcentral lists this ribosomal RNA (833 nucleotides) under Polypedates leucomystax (Java whipping frog). RNAcentral's name for it is "partial 16S ribosomal RNA". It matches the Rfam family "Bacterial large subunit ribosomal RNA", at positions 1505 to 2589 of the family's 2925-position model. Lineage: Eukaryota; Metazoa; Chordata; Amphibia; Anura; Rhacophoridae. The record is from RNAcentral.
CCCAAAAUACCAUUAAUUUUUAUGAACCCCUAAUUUAUAAUGAAUGACUCCAUAUUUAUAUGGAAGACACCAUGCUAGGAUUAGUAACAAGAAUUUAUAAUUCUCCAAAAUGCAAAUAUAAACCAACAUGGAUAGACCAUUGGUAGUUACCGAACCUAAAUUUAAUGCAAUAACAUCCACAAGAAAACUCUGCAGCACUCACUCGUUAACCUAACACCAGCGCAUUACAGGAAAGAUUCAAAAAAAGAGAAGGAAUUCGGCAAAUGACGACCCCGCCUGUUUACCAAAAACAUCGCCUCUUGACUUAUAAUAAGAGGUCUAGCCUGCCCAGUGAAUUUUAAACGGCCGCGGUAUCCUAACCGCGCGAAGGUAGCAUAAUCACUUGUUCUUUAAAUGGGGACUCGUAUCAACGGCAUCACGAGGGUCUUACUGUCUCCUCUUUUUGAUCAGUGAAAUUGAUCUUCCCGUGAAGAAGCGGGAAUAUUUUUAUAAGACGAGAAGACCCCAUGGAGCUUUAAACCAAAUAACAACUUAACCACUUAUCCCAUAAUAAAUUUAACCCCUGUUAUAAGGUUUUUGGUUGGGGUGACCGCGGAGUAAAGCACAUCCUCCACGACGGAAAGAAUAAAAUCUUUAUUUAAGAACCACACUUCUAGAAAUUAGUAUACUAACGUUUACUGACCCGACAAUCGAUCAACGGACCAAGUUACCCUGGGGAUAACAGCGCAAUCUACUUCGAGAGCUCAUAUCGACAAGUAGGCUUACGACCUCGAUGUUGGAUCAGGGUAUCCCGGUGGUGCAGCCGCUACCGAAGGUUCGUUUGUUCAACGAUU